AUGGCGGGCGCUCUCGCAAUAGCCGCCGCCGCUGGUUCUUACGAUCGCGAUUGGGCGGGGCUACCGGAGGAAAUACUCCUCAUGUUCAUGCAGGAGCUGGAGAUCCCCGACCUCGUCCGCUCAGGUGCUGUCUGCGCCUCGUGGCAUGCUGCUUACCUAGACGUCCGCCGCCAUCGCUUCCCCCUUCCGAUCCCCCGGAAUCAGCUGCCCUGCCUGCUCUACGCAUGCCGCGAUUCCGCCGCAGACGGCGCCGUCGUAUGCUGCCCCUUCACCGGGGAUUCCGUCCGAGUCCCCCUGCCGCAGCCCCCGCUCACCCGCCACUCCACCAUCGGCUCCGCGCACGGUUGGCUCGUCACCGCUGACGAGGCCUCCAACCUCCACGUCCUCAAUCCAAUCACGGGCGCCCACGCCGCGCUCCCGCCCAUCACCACCCUCCACCAUGUCGAGAGCUGUACCGACGCCGAAGGCCGCCUCAUGUACAAUGUCUUUGAGGGCGGUGAUCCGGAGCCGAUCCCCUUUGACGCGCGCGAGGCCAGGGAUUGCAUGUACCACCGUGUUACCCUCUCCUGCAGCCCGGCGGCUGGGAGCGCUUGCAUCGUGCUGCUGGUGCACAUGCCAGACGGCGAGCUCUCUUACGCCCGGCUCGGUGACGAGCGGUGGACGUUGAUCUCGCCCGACGACCACCAGCUCAUGGGCAUCAGUUGGGGCUUCAUGGACUCUUUCUACAAUGAGGAUGAUGGUUUGUUCUAUGUGCUUCGUAGCCACAGAUCGGUUUUCACCCUAAAUUUCAAUGGCCCAUUCCUUGUUGUUAAAAAGAUCAUGCGCAGAGAUAGGAAGGGAAAUGAUCCUUCUAGCAUGUACAUCCUGCAAGCUCCAUGGGGUGAUAUUUUGCAAAUAUGGAGGUGGAGGAGCUACGUCGAUUCAUCAACACCCGUGGAGCUUCCUGGAGAUCUGCUGGGUCACAACGAAGAUGACAUAGACCGGUAUAUUGAGCUGAGAACAACUGAAAUAGAGAUCUAUAAGGUUGACCUUGAGAACCAGACACUUGUGAAGAUGACAAGCUUAGCAGGUCAUGCACUAUUCCUUGGUUAUAAUAGCACCAUGUGUUUUGCCACUAAAGAUUUUCCAACAUUGAAGCCAAACUGUGUCUAUAUCACGGAUGACUCUUAUGAGUAUGUCAACAUCGGUAAGCAUAACUGGGCGACAAAUCGGAGUUUGGGAUAUAGAAAACAAGAGUCUGCAGACUUUUGA
Molecule: ribosomal RNA, 1251 nt
Filed under: Triticum aestivum (bread wheat)
Lineage: Eukaryota; Viridiplantae; Streptophyta; Magnoliopsida; Poales; Poaceae
Description: partial small subunit ribosomal RNA
Source: RNAcentral